Molecule: ribosomal RNA, 423 nt
Filed under: Verrucomicrobiota bacterium
Lineage: Bacteria; Pseudomonadati; Verrucomicrobiota
Description: Verrucomicrobia bacterium partial 16S ribosomal RNA
Rfam family: Bacterial small subunit ribosomal RNA
Source: RNAcentral
UGAGGAAUAUUGGUCAAUGGGCGAGAGCCUGAACCAGCCAAGUAGCGUGCAGGAUGACGGCCCUAUGGGUUGUAAACUGCUUUUAUAUGGGAAUAAAGUGAGGGACGUGUCCCUUAUUGCAUGUACCAUACGAAUAAGGACCGGCUAAUUCCGUGCAGCAGCCGCGGUAAUACGGAAGGUCCAGGCGUUAUCCGGAUUUAUUGGGUUUAAAGGGAGCGUAGGCUGUUUGUUAAGCGUGUUGUGAAAUGUAAGAGCUCAACUUUUAGAUUGCAGCGCGAACUGGCAGACUUGAGUGCGCACAACGUAGGCGGAAUUCAUGGUGUAGCGGUGAAAUGCUUAGAUAUCAUGACGAACUCCGAUUGCGAAGGCAGCUUACGGGAGCGCAACUGACGCUAAAGCUCGAAGGUGCGGGUAUCGAACAGG